GAUGAACGCUAGCUAUAGGCUUAACACAUGCAAGUCGAGGGGAAACGGCAUUAUGUGCUUGCACAUUUUGGACGUCGACCGGCGCACGGGUGAGUAUCGCGUAUCCAACCUGCCCUUUACUUGGGGAUACCCCGUUGAAAGACGGCCUAAUACCCGAUGUAAUUCAUUGAUGGCAUCAGAUAUGAAUAAAAGAUUUAUCGGUAAAGGAUGGGGAUGCGUCUGAUUAGCUUGUUGGUGAGGUAACGGCUCACCAAGGCGACGAUCAGUAGGGGUUCUGAGAGGAAGGUCCCCCACAUUGGAACUGAGACACGGUCCAAACUCCUACGGGAGGCAGCAGUGAGGGAUAUUGGUCAAUGGGCGCAAGCCUGAACCAGCCAAGUAGCGUGCAGGAAGACGGCCCUAUGGGUUGUAAACUGCUUUUAUACGAGAAUAAUUUGAUGCACGUGUGCGUUAUUGCAUGUAUCGUAUGAAUAAGGACCGGCUAAUUCCGUG
This 492-nucleotide ribosomal RNA is filed under the name uncultured bacterium. Its description in RNAcentral is "partial 16S ribosomal RNA". It matches the Rfam family "Bacterial small subunit ribosomal RNA", at positions 28 to 507 of the family's 1533-position model. The record is from RNAcentral.